Molecule: long non-coding RNA, 504 nt
Organism: Colossoma macropomum (tambaqui)
Lineage: Eukaryota; Metazoa; Chordata; Actinopteri; Characiformes; Serrasalmidae
Exons: 3
Source: RefSeq, a predicted model, not a curated record
CUGCACUGAUGAGAAUGAUCCACCACCCAAAUAACACCUGCUCAAAUCAGUGGUAGUCCUGAGGGGGUCCUGACUGAUAAUGAAUCAGGUUUCAACAUAACGGCAUCAGAAAUGGAGAAGGAAGCACGUCUACCAAUGAAGGUUAAAAAAAGACGCAGGAGGAGGAUACUUACUGCUGAACUACACAGGCAGCAGUAUCAUCAGGAGGGUCAGUGGCAUGCAAGAGAGGCGUUCUGCACAGUGUUGGACAGCAGGAAACUCCACGGUGGUCAAAAUAGUCCAGAAGGUGUGUGAGCAGGGGCACUUGAGGCAGAUGAAGCUACAGCAUCAGACUGCACAGGAUGGGCGGUUGUUCAGCUCAGCAAAGAAACACACAGACAGUUAGUUCUGUUAGGAGUCAUACAUUACUUGUGUGGAUAAAAGUCACAUGUAAUGCCAUGUUUGGGUGCUCAUUGGUAGAUUGUACACACCAGAUGAUUGAUUAUAAAAUAUGAUUUCACUCUG